Molecule: long non-coding RNA, 1775 nt
Organism: Aquila chrysaetos chrysaetos
Lineage: Eukaryota; Metazoa; Chordata; Aves; Accipitriformes; Accipitridae
Exons: 8
Source: RefSeq, a predicted model, not a curated record
CAAUAGAGGCUUUUGUGAAAAUAUAAUUUGUAUGAUUUAUACUUUAAUUAUAAUAAAAGUAGAUUAGAGAGGGUAGGGGUGGCAUUGGGAUUGCUUUCUCUGCGGGCUUCUGCUAUCUGGAGCCUACAGAGAGUCAGUUUUGAGAUAGAGUGGGAAGGAAAAUAAAAAUACAGCUAACUAUAAAAGAUUAUUCAUGUAUUCUCUUUAUAGUUAUCCUCAGCAUUUUCCUGAGCUGUGAUUCUGAAAAGAUUUUUGUUUGGAUUUAGUUUUAUACUGAGCUUUGCUGCCCCGAGUUGCUGUCCUCAUUUCUGUGGUUUGGGUACAUCUAAAUAACCUCAGGGGCUGAAAAGAGUCCAGGAUCUGGGAAGGCGAUGGAGCCCACAAAGAUUAAGGACCAAGACCUAGUACUCCAUUGAAGAUCUGUGGGAAGUAAGCAUUAACACUCAAUUUCUGCCUCCUGUACUUUCAGUUCAUUUCAUUUCAUCUUUCUGUAUUCUGUCUGAUGAGACGGAAUUUGAGUUACCAAAUCAUUCUCAGCACUUUGUCCAGCUUACCUUUGAAAGAUGAAGAGCAGGUCAAAUUACUUCAACAGUGUCUUUGAGGAUAAAGUCUGAAACUAACUUUCUUCGGUAUGUGUUCAUCCAAUGUCUAGCAUGAAGUGCCCAGUACACCCACCUGCUUUCAGAGAGCAAAUUAAUAGUGGUAGCAGGGAUAAAGCUGAUGUUUAAAAGCUGAAGAUACCACAACAUGAGAAGUCAUCUGAGAAAGUAAGUUGCUUGGGUUAGACCCCGUUGCUGGUGUGUUUGUACAGAACAUAGCAGAGCUCCUGGGUCCUCCCAGCCACCACCGAACAAGUAAGCUCUUUCCAUGGGAUCGCAGUGCCGGGCAUGUGGUUGCCUUAUUGAAAGAAGUACAAACUCUGCUUAAGGCAACUAGCUCUAUUCAAGACAACGUUCGUAGUGGCUCACUAGCUUCUAUAAAACUGAAGUCUCUGACUGUUGUGCCAAGCCUUUCAUCUGACCCUUGACUUGCUUUCAGCCUCCUGUCUCUGGGUGCUAACACAUGGGGAACUGCCCUUCCGGAGGCUGAGUUACCAGUCCUGGACCUCUUUACCAUACCUAGACAGACUUAUCUGAUAUAUUACAACAUAACUGAAUUAAAAUCAAAGACUUGCAUUAAUUUACUAGAAAGAAAAUCUGGAUGCUCAGGGUGGAAGCAUCACCUCUAGGAAAAGAAGGGACUGAAUUUGGUAUCCAACUUUGACAACCUAACUCUGUAGAAGAAAAUUUAAUUCUGGCUUUGACUUUGGUAAAUAACUUACUGGCUUGCAGAAGAAAUUUCCUCCUCCUUCUCUUGCUUGUUCUCUGUUUACAGGAUGGAUUAAAACUUUCAAAAUGUUUGGGUUUAAUUUUCAUUUAAGACAUUUAUACGAGAUAUAUGGUCCUUUCCACAGCCAAAGCAACUGUAGGAUAUCACAAAAAUUUCAAUAUUCUUUGCUUCAGGAACUCUUCUGUGUAUUGUACUGUUUUGGGAAGGCAUAUGUGUGAACGUGUCUGUGCAGAUGACGGGCUGAUCACAUGGAAGAGUGAGGCAGCAGAUGUUUUUGUACAGCCUGAGCAACACCUGGGUUUGACCUUGACAACAGAUUAAAGAAGUAGGCUUUUGAGGUAACGUGGCAGCUGAACAAAGUUUGGAGCUGUAAACAAAAACCAGCGUCACUUGAUUCUCUGUAUGCUCAACAAGGUGGGAUUUUGUACAUUUUUAUAAAUAAACAG